GACGAACGCUGGCGGCGUGCUUAACACAUGCAAGUCGAGCGGUAAGGCCCUUUCGGGGGUACACGAGCGGCGAACGGGUGAGUAACACGUGGGUGACCUGCCCUCAGCUCUGGGAUAAGCCCGGGAAACUGGGUCUAAUACUGGAUAUGACUCCAUGACGCAUGUUGUGGGUGGAAAGCCUUGUGCGGCUGAGGAUGGGCCCGCGGCCUAUCAGCUUGUUGGUGGGGNGAUGGCCUACCAAGGCGACGACGGGUAGCCGGCCUGAGAGGGCGACCGGCCACACUGGGACUGAGACACGGCCCAGACUCCUACGGGAGGCAGCAGUGGGGAAUCUUGCGCAAUGGGCGAAAGCCUGACGCAGCGACGCCGCGUGA
RNAcentral lists this ribosomal RNA (374 nucleotides) under uncultured bacterium. RNAcentral describes it as "bacterial SSU rRNA". It matches the Rfam family "Bacterial small subunit ribosomal RNA", at positions 28 to 404 of the family's 1533-position model. The record is from RNAcentral.